CUCCCUCUUCACUUUCUCUCUCUCUCUCUCUGUCACACACACACACACACACACACACACACACAAACCCUUUCUCUUCACUCUCUCUCUACACAGGUUUGACUCUCCCUGGAGAGCUAGUUUUGAUGUUGAGAAGGUAAUUAGUCCUGUUUGGGUUUCCAAGGCGAGCAUCUUACAGGACCUUAUAGCCAUAAAUGAUGCUUGUUUUUAUUUUAAAUCCAGAUUUAAUGGAAAAAUUACCUUUCUGUAGUUUAAUUAGCUUGUGUAAGUUGGUCAGCCUGCUUGAUCGCAAAACCCUCUGAAACCAACCUGCAGACUAGCCUGAUUAGGCUGACGUAUUUAUUUAUUUAUUUAACAGCAGACAACAGCAGCGUCUCCCGAGACACACGAGAGCCGCUCCAGAACCCUGCUAAUCAAGUCAAAAGCUAUCUCAGAUCAUUCAGCUCACAUCAGACCUGCCAACGACGACACUCGGGAACAGCACGUUCAGAAAUGAUCUCUUGAUGCUUUCAGAGCCAGUCACGCAUUUAAAUGCCUACGAUAAAAUUCUGGACACAAUCAUUCAGUUCUGGGUCAAACUGAUUCCUUAUUGAAUUCAAUACAAUUCACCAAAAAUCAUGCUAUGAAAAAAGUAAACCUUUAACAUUAAUAUUUCUCACACAAUAAUAAAUAAAUCAAAUAAAUAAAUAAACAUGGAAACAUUUUAAAAACUGUAUCUGUAAAACUGUGGUUCAAAUUGACCUGGAAUAUUAUAUAAGGCUUAAAAAAAAUCCAUGUUUGGUUUUGUUUGAUGGUUAAAACUUGUUUGUAUCACAUCAAAAACAAUACAAACAAACAACACACACACACACACACACACACACACACACACCUCUCUCUCUCUCUCUCUCUCUCUCUAUUACGUUUAAUAAAAAGAAAAAUUGUGUGCUUUCCUGAAUGCCAAGAUGAUAAUUUUUAAACAAUCUUUUCUUUCUAAAAUUAUUUCUUUUUCUUCUUAUUUUUAUUAUUUAUUUAAAUUUUUUGGGGGGUGUGCUUUCCUGAUCACCAAGAUCACAGGUUCGAUUCCCAGCAAAAUUCACAUGCAUUAACUGAUAAAAAUUUACACCUUGAGGAGAGCAUAUUUUUCUUGGGUUAAAAGCAUCUGUUUUUAUUAUUACUUUUGGUCUGUGUAUCUUUUAACCAUGAAAUAUGUGGGUAAAAUUGACCUGUUAACAUCACAAUUGUAAUAAAAACUUCAUAUGCAUGCCCCACAACACCACAGAAAUGAGAAAUGAGAAAAAAUGUGACCCUGCCUUUUUUUGUGUGAUUUACUGUUUUACAUAAAAUCGUCCUUCAUAAUCUAAAGAA
Long non-coding RNA from Cyprinus carpio (common carp), 1347 nucleotides. RefSeq lists it as uncharacterized. The transcript is spliced from 2 exons. The record is from RefSeq and is a predicted model, not a curated record. NCBI's taxonomy places the organism in Eukaryota, Metazoa, Chordata, Actinopteri, Cypriniformes, Cyprinidae.